RNAcentral lists this long non-coding RNA (311 nucleotides) under Equus caballus (horse). RNAcentral describes it as "lncRNA (ENSECAG00000053586.1)". Lineage: Eukaryota; Metazoa; Chordata; Mammalia; Perissodactyla; Equidae. The record is from RNAcentral.
GGAGCAUUGUGCAAUGCUUCAGGAAGUCCAGUUUGGGGAAUGCUGCCUGCAUAGCAUACACCAUCUACUGCUUUGCACUUUGUUCUUAGGAUUUCUGGAAUUCGGUAUAGUUGAGUACUCCCAAAGUGUGGUCUCGAUUAAGAUAAAUAUAGUUUAUCCUCUCUCUCUCUUGAAGUAUGUGAAUGCACUCCACCAGGGCAUGAUGCUGUUUCCCUACAAAGAACACCAUUUCCUCAAGACAAGGCAAAAGCAACGAGGGAGAGAUGCACAAUUUUUUUGAGUGGAAGAGGAGGGCAAUUGUGUAAACUUAG